GACGUAGGAGCCAAGCGUUAUCCGAAUUCACUGGGCGUAAAGCGUGUGCAGGCGGUGUGGUAAGUUGGAUGUGAAAUCUCCUGGCUCAACUGGGAGAGGCCGUUCAAUACUGCCAGACUAGAGGGCAACAGAGGAAGGUGGAAUUCCCGGUGUAGUGGUGAAAUGCGUAGAUAUCGGGAGGAACACCAGUGGCGAAGGCGACCUUCUGGGUUGCACCUGACGCUCAGACACGAAAGCUAGGGGAGCGAACGGG
This 253-nucleotide ribosomal RNA is filed under the name uncultured bacterium. RNAcentral describes it as "partial 16S ribosomal RNA". It matches the Rfam family "Bacterial small subunit ribosomal RNA", at positions 524 to 776 of the family's 1533-position model. The record is from RNAcentral.